UUAACCCUCCAAAUACCGGUAUUAAGGUGACUGCUUUUGAAGUACCUCAGAAGUACCACACCAGGUGUUCAAAAGGUCCGUGUCAAUGCAUUGAAUACUUAGCUGUGGUCGCGUGCAAUUGUCCACAGAAGAUCAGUUCCAACAGUUGGUCUGUUCUUGGCUCCGUGUCUCCCCAAUCCCACAUGUACUUGGAAGUCGAUGGGAUCCGGUCAGCCUGGCUGCUAUAGGUUCAGAUCACCUUGUCAGCAGGUAGGUAGAUUAGCCAGAAUGAAGGUUUACAUGUGCCUGCUUCUCCUGAUGGUCGUUGGAUGUGCCUUGUGUUUCACACAGACGGAGGCUUGCACAUCUAAUGCCCAAUGUCCAGGACGCUACGGGGUAUGUCAUCAAACA
This is a long non-coding RNA of Patiria miniata (bat star), 390 nucleotides long. RefSeq lists it as uncharacterized. The transcript has 3 exons. The record is from RefSeq and is a predicted model, not a curated record. Lineage: Eukaryota; Metazoa; Echinodermata; Asteroidea; Valvatida; Asterinidae.